This 192-nucleotide small nucleolar RNA is filed under the name Rhinolophus ferrumequinum (greater horseshoe bat). RNAcentral's name for it is "Small nucleolar RNA U3 (ENSRFEG00010001078.1)". It matches the Rfam family "Small nucleolar RNA U3". From Rfam's summary of the family: Small nucleolar RNAs (snoRNAs) are involved in the processing and modification of rRNA in the nucleolus. There are two main classes of snoRNAs: the box C/D class, and the box H/ACA class. Lineage: Eukaryota; Metazoa; Chordata; Mammalia; Chiroptera; Rhinolophidae. The record is from Rfam by way of RNAcentral.
AAGUCUUGCUGCAUAAAAACCAUUUUGCUCUGAUUGUGUAGAGCACUGGAAACCACGAGGAAGAGGUGCAGUGUUCUCUCCUGAGCAUGAAGCCAGAUCUUGGUGUUGCUUUUGUAACUGCCAUUAGCCAUUGAUUGUUCUUCUCUUCCUUUGGGAGAGUAAGAGAGAGAGAACACAGUCUGAAUGAGUGGU